Molecule: ribosomal RNA, 497 nt
Filed under: uncultured bacterium
Lineage: Bacteria
Description: partial 16S ribosomal RNA
Rfam family: Bacterial small subunit ribosomal RNA
Source: RNAcentral
GAUGAACGCUGGCGGCGUGCCUAAUACAUGCAAGUCGAGCGAACAGACGAGGAGCUUGCUCCUCUGACGUUAGCGGCGGACGGGUGAGUAACACGUGGAUAACCUACCUAUAAGACUGGGAUAACUUCGGGAAACCGGAGCUAAUACCGGAUAAUAUAUUGAACCGCAUGGUUCAAUAGUGAAAGACGGUUUUGCUGUCACUUAUAGAUGGAUCCGCGCCGCAUUAGCUAGUUGGUAAGGUAACGGCUUACCAAGGCAACGAUGCGUAGCCGACCUGAGAGGGUGAUCGGCCACACUGGAACUGAGACACGGUCCAGACUCCUACGGGAGGCAGCAGUAGGGAAUCUUCCGCAAUGGGCGAAAGCUUGACGGAGCAACGCAGCGUGAGUGAUGAAGGUCUUCGGAUCGUAAAACUCUGUUAUUAGGGAAGAACAAAUGUGUAAGUAACUAUGCACGUCUUGACGGUACCUAAUCAGAAAGCCACGGCUAACUACGUG